Molecule: ribosomal RNA, 253 nt
Filed under: uncultured bacterium
Lineage: Bacteria
Description: partial 16S ribosomal RNA
Rfam family: Bacterial small subunit ribosomal RNA
Source: RNAcentral
UACGUAGGGGGCAAGCGUUGUCCGGAAUUAUUGGGCGUAAAGAGCGCGUAGGCGGUCCGGUAAGUCAGCUGUGAAAGUCAAGGGCUCAACCCUUGAAAGCCGGUUGAUACUGUCGGGCUAGAGUCCGGAAGAGGCGAGUGGAAUUCCCGGUGUAGCGGUGAAAUGCGCAGAUAUCAGGAGGAACACCAAUGGCGAAGGCAGCUCGCUGGAACGGUACUGACGCUGAGGCGCGAAAGCGUGGGGAGCGAACAGG